RNAcentral lists this ribosomal RNA (117 nucleotides) under Lachnospiraceae bacterium. Its description in RNAcentral is "partial 23S ribosomal RNA". It matches the Rfam family "Bacterial large subunit ribosomal RNA", at positions 2808 to 2925 of the family's 2925-position model. Lineage: Bacteria; Bacillati; Bacillota; Clostridia; Lachnospirales; Lachnospiraceae. The record is from RNAcentral.
GAUAUCCCUACCAUAAGGUAAUAAGACCCCUUAGAGAGUAUGAGGUAGAUAGGAAUGGUGUGUAAGAGCAGUAAUGCUCUCAGCUGACAUUUACUAAUAGGUCGAAGGCUUAUCCUG